Molecule: long non-coding RNA, 407 nt
Organism: Phlebotomus papatasi
Lineage: Eukaryota; Metazoa; Arthropoda; Insecta; Diptera; Psychodidae
Exons: 3
Source: RefSeq, a predicted model, not a curated record
AAUCAACCAGCUCUAACAGGAUUGAAAAAUCUCUGGUCAACGCUCAAAGAACGAUUUAGCGAAUUUUCCAAGAAAAAUUCCAUUGGCAACUCAAACUAUGGCAAUCGUAUAAUACCCUUAUCCAGAAAUCAAAUGCUCGCAUGGAGAAGAAGUGGCCACAGACAGAAGAAUCGUUUUAAGCUCCUUCCGGUUUUAGCAAAACGCAGUGCAGAAAAUCAUUUCAAUUCAACAACUUUAAAAGAAAAAUUCGGAAAGGAGCCUUUAGUAUCGAGACGGAAAUUGUAUUCCCGGAUUGAGUCAUAUCUGGAAGGGAAAGGUGUUAAUGGCCGUGAAUGUGUCUUGAAGACUUUGUGCCAGUCGAAAAUGUCGUCAGAGCUGCCCAACACAUUCUUAUCGGAAAUCAUGAA